UACGAAGGGGGCUAGCGUUGCUCGGAAUUACUGGGCGUAAAGGGUGUGUAGGCGGAUACUUAAGUCGGGGGGUGAAAGCCCAGGGCUCAACCCUGGAAUAGCCUUCGAUACUGGGUAUCUUGAGUUCGGGAGAGGUAAGUGGAACUCCGAGUGUAGAGGUGAAAUUCGUAGAUAUUCGGAAGAACACCAGUGGCGAAGGCGACUUACUGGCCCGAUACUGACGCUGAAAACACGAAAAGCGUGGGGGAGCAAACAGG
RNAcentral lists this ribosomal RNA (257 nucleotides) under uncultured bacterium. RNAcentral's name for it is "partial 16S ribosomal RNA". It matches the Rfam family "Bacterial small subunit ribosomal RNA", at positions 524 to 776 of the family's 1533-position model. The record is from RNAcentral.